Molecule: long non-coding RNA, 561 nt
Filed under: Capsella rubella
Lineage: Eukaryota; Viridiplantae; Streptophyta; Magnoliopsida; Brassicales; Brassicaceae
Description: long non-coding RNA (CRUB_LNC001053)
Source: RNAcentral
GAAAAGCAGUUAAGGAUAAUCUCUUUGGAUUAUAGGACAAACACAUGUUUCUAAGAAUCUUGUUCUUGCUUUUCUUUUUUCACUUUCUUUCACAUUAUUUGAAAUAUGCAAAUACUAGCUAUAGUAUAUAGUAUAAGCAAAUAUAUUCUUUGGACGUUUUGAACACAAUGGUUUCUAAAUUGGUGUAGGUCCAAAUCAUGGUGUCGGGUGGAUGGGGCCUAGCCGCGGAUUUGUUUGAACAACAGAUCAAACGGUCAUCAUUUUUUGUCCAUCUAAUGAUCACUACUAUUUUUUUUUGAUCAAAAUGAUUAUUACUAUUUAGGUUUCUCAUUUUUUCUUCACUCUUUUUUUUUUUUUAAUUAAGGAUAAAGUAAAAAAAAACAAAGUACUGUAUGAGACUAGACUAAACAUACUUAUUAGCUGUAUAUGACCAUCCAAAAAAAAGAACAUCCUACCUUUUUUUUUGUAUGGCUACAAUUUUUAAUUUUAUAAUUGAUAAGAGUACCAUGCUUAAUUAUUUAUUAACACAUUACAAAAUAAUAAAAGAACAUUUUUCUGUUA